Molecule: long non-coding RNA, 1740 nt
Organism: Erinaceus europaeus (western European hedgehog)
Lineage: Eukaryota; Metazoa; Chordata; Mammalia; Eulipotyphla; Erinaceidae
Exons: 3
Source: RefSeq, a predicted model, not a curated record
AGAACAAAUCAUCACAACAUAUCAUUAAGAAUAAAGAUCUGGGGAAAACAACCUCAAGAGGAGCAGCCAGCCAGGAUAGAGAAUGGAUGAAAGUAGAGAAGGUCAGGGAAAACUUCCUGGAGGAGGUGGUAAUUGAAACAAGAAUCAUCAAUGCUUGCAACAAAGGCAAAGGAAGAGACAGACAUUUUACUAUGGUUACAAAGUGCAAAGCCCCUGAAUGAGAGGAGAGGAUUCUGAAAGUCCCAGCAAAUCGAUCCAUUUGGCAGAAUUGGAAAGGGCAGAUGAACAAGAGCAAGAAGAUAUAUAAAAUUAUUAAUACAGAAGAAAAAGAAGAAAGAAAAGGAGAAGGAGGAGGAAGAUGGGGAGGGACAGGAGAGACUCUCUGGAAGGCAGAAGGAGCCUGGACCAUUUUUCCACUAGAGGAGUCAAUAGGGCUUUGUGUCUUCAGGAUUCCUGUGCUCCCAGCAAGCAUUUCACUGGCUACUUCAGUUUCAAGAGAGUCUAGGAAAGGAAUCCUCACCUGCAUAGUCACACUCCUGAGAUGAAGAUCUGUUUCUGUGGAGGAGGGAAGCUUGGGUCGCUCAGAGACCAUCAGUGUGCCCUCACGCCUACUCCUCACAAGCUCCUGGAGACUGCAGUGCUGCUGUGACCUUCACACUGACGGUGCUCCAUCACCAAAGCACAUUUUCCACCUGUUAUUGCCAGACUGGUCUGUGAGUUAGUUACGCCCAGUCACGUUCCCAUUAUUCCUGCCUGGAAUGUUCUUCCCAGAGCCAUUGUUCAUUUUCCCUGCUCCUUACUCCUUCUUGGGGCAUAUAUGUUCCAUCGUUUAAAGCUCAAGCUCACAAGUGUGUCCUCCAACCAGCCAUUAGCCACCUGUUGCUUCCUGACCCACAUCGAGUGUUGAAUGUCCCCCUGGGGCCCCAUGUCUCACUUCUACUGUGAUACCUCUACCCUGAAUUGUGACAUGAUGCUUCAUUCAUCUCCUUCCAUUACUGAGCUGUAAGCUAAGUGUUGGGCACAUGCUAUUUGCCUUAGUGUCUCCAGACACUGUAGAAAUGCCUGGCACACAGCACACAAUGAAACCUGUGAACUUGAACAUAGUACUUGCCCUGAGUUGGCUGUAAUCUUGACAGUAAUAGCAGCUCAUCUCUCUUGAGUGUGGGAUCUAUGUAGAUCUAUCCUUAUAUGGUUUCAUUUAUUUCCUUCUAAGAUCUCUAUGAGAUGGGUAAUCUUUUCCCCAUUUUUCUCCCCACUACGGGCCAAUAGGACUUUGUGCCUACAGGAUUCCAGCUCUCUCAGAUGUUUUGUUUUUGCCCUCACCAACCACAGAUAGAAACAGAGAGGGAGAGAGAGAAGCAGAGAGAGAGGAGGUACCGCAGGGCUGCUUUACAGCUUGUAAAGCAUGAUGUUCCCAUGUGAUGUCAAAAGAGCUGAACCCAGGUCUUUGGGUAUGGUUUGAUGAGUGCUCUACCAGGUGGGCCAUAUUUCUUUCCCUCUUUCAAAUUAUUUAUCCAUAUUUUUAUUUUUCAUUUGUUUGAUUUAUUUAUUUGAUACAAAAAUCAAGAGGGGAGGAGGAUGAAGGGGGGGAGACAGAGAGACGCCAGCAGCACCUCUCUACCACAGGAAAUGCUUCCUCUCUGUUGAUGGGGACCAGGGGCUUGAACCCAGGUCCUAUUUCAUUGUCACAUGUAUACUCAACUGAGUGCCCCUUUUAUCCCUAUUUUUAAAAGAAGGAAG